GGAGAGUUAGAAGCAAGCCACGUGGGUGACUUCUUUUCAAAGUUCUCUGCCUCAGAGGAGGAAGCCCCAUGGGUGGAGGCCAGGCCCGAGGCCAUCCUGCUCUGGGCCAGAGCGUGCCUGUGUCUGAUGAGCGAGGACAUGCCUCGUCUGGCUGAGCCUUCCAUUUCACACCGGCAGCUCGAACCCCCCAUCACGGCUUCCUUUUGGGCUCCCCUCCUCAGGGGACCGAGCUUGAAAUGUGCUUGCCCUUCAUCCCUAAGGCCUGCGUCCCUUCCUCAGAGAGGACUAAGCCCCUCUCCCAGUCUUGAUGUUCUCCGAGGCCCUUCUUAUUCACAGAACCUAUCUGGCUUAUUUAUUCGCUUGCUUGCUUCUGAUGUCUUCUCUUACUGAAAGGAAUCGAAGGGCCAAGGAAUGUGUUUUUCGUUGAUGUCAACUUGCUGCAAAGGACCACACCUGCUUCUCGACCCAGGAACGUGGGAAAGGGAAAGGCUUGGCUUGUUUUGGUGGAGAUGGAGAUGCUGGUAACAGUGGAGGAAUGCCCUCCUUCUGAUUCACAGUGGGGAGGUGCUCUGGGCCCCUGCCACUGCCCGAGGACUUCAGGAGCUGAGAACAGCCCCCUUCCUAUUUGAGGCUGGCCUGUCCAUGCGCACCCUUGGCCUCACAUCAAUGGAGGAUCACCCAUCCCUUCCUCGUGCUAGAAACCCAAUGGCUGUAUUCCAUAAGCCUGCAGGACUCUUGCUCUUCUCCUUAUUUAACUACACCAGCUUAGGAGUAGCCUACAUGCUCCAUCUUCAUUUCCUUACCCCAUCUACUCCACAGUCUACCAUUCUCUUGCUGAGGUUACUUACCUGGCCUCUUUCCUCUACACUCUUUUCCACACUCACUUGUCCAGGUGCACAUUAAUACCUACACCUGACUAUCCUACAGAUAACUCGAAUUCAAGAUGGUGGGGGAAUAAACUCACCAUCUUACUCUA
This 976-nucleotide long non-coding RNA is filed under the name Homo sapiens (human). Its description in RNAcentral is "long intergenic non-protein coding RNA 1348". Lineage: Eukaryota; Metazoa; Chordata; Mammalia; Primates; Hominidae. The record is from RNAcentral.